RNAcentral lists this ribosomal RNA (460 nucleotides) under uncultured bacterium. RNAcentral's name for it is "partial 16S ribosomal RNA". It matches the Rfam family "Bacterial small subunit ribosomal RNA", at positions 28 to 507 of the family's 1533-position model. The record is from RNAcentral.
GACGAACGCUGGCGGCGUGCUUAACACAUGCAAGUCGAGCGGUAAGGCCUCUUCGGGGGUACACGAGCGGCGAACGGGUGAGUAACACGUGGGUGACCUGCCCUCAGCUCUGGGAUAAGCCUGGGAAACUGGGUCUAAUACCGGAUAUGACCUUUCCUCGCAUGGGGUUUGGUGGAAAGUUUUUUCGGCUGGGGAUGGGCCCGCGGCCUAUCAGCUUGUUGGUGGGGUGAUGGCCUACCAAGGCGACGACGGGUAGCCGGCCUGAGAGGGCGACCGGCCACACUGGGACUGAGACACGGCCCAGACUCCUACGGGAGGCAGCAGUGGGGAAUAUUGCGCAAUGGGCGGAGGCCUGACGCAGCGACGCCGCGUGGGGGAUGACGGCCUUCGGGUUGGAAACCUCUUUCGACCCCGACGAAUUUGGACGGUAGGGGUAGAAGAAGCACUGGCCAACUACGUG